AAAUUUAAUUAAAAUAAAAAUAAAAUUAUGUUGUUACUAUCUCGAGUGGAUUAGUUUUGUAGUUAUGCACGGAUGACAUGUAAUUUACCAAAAUAUUAUGUUGUUGCUCUUAUGAUUUGUCUCUCUUAUAUUUGUUUUAGUAAAUUAUAUACUCCCGUAUUUCCAAAGAAGUUUGAAUAACAUUUUUCUCCUCUCUUGUGUUAAAAUAUAUACUUUGGUCCAUUUUAGUAAAAUUAAAUAUUUUUGUGAUAAAAAA
This 256-nucleotide long non-coding RNA is filed under the name Trifolium pratense (red clover). RNAcentral's name for it is "long non-coding RNA (TPRA_LNC005334)". Lineage: Eukaryota; Viridiplantae; Streptophyta; Magnoliopsida; Fabales; Fabaceae. The record is from RNAcentral.